GAUGAACGCUGGCGGCGUGCCUAAUACAUGCAAGUCGAGCGAAUGGAUUAAGAGCUUGCUCUUAUGAAGUUAGCGGCGGACGGGUGAGUAACACGUGGGUAACCUGCCCAUAAGACUGGGAUAACUCCGGGAACCGGGGCUAAUACCGGAUAACAUUUUGAACCGCAUGGUUCGAAAUUGAAAGGCGGCUUCGGCUUGCACUUAUGGAUGGACCCGGGUCGCAUUAGCUAGUUGGUGGGGUAACGGGUCACCAAGGCAACGAUGCGUAGCCGACCUGAGAGGGUGAUCGGCCACACUGGGGCUGAGACACGGCCCAGACUCCUACGGGAGGCAGCAGUAGGGAAUCUUCCGCAAUGGACGAAAGUCUGACGGAGCAACACCGCGUGAGUGAUGAAGGCUUUCGGGUCGUAAAACUCUGUUGUUAGGGAAGAACAAGUGCUAGUUGAAUAAGCUGGCACCUUGACGGUACCUAACCAGAAAGCCACGGCUAACUACGUGCCAGCAGCCGCGGUAA
This 514-nucleotide ribosomal RNA is filed under the name uncultured bacterium. Its description in RNAcentral is "partial 16S ribosomal RNA". It matches the Rfam family "Bacterial small subunit ribosomal RNA", at positions 28 to 523 of the family's 1533-position model. The record is from RNAcentral.